This 385-nucleotide ribosomal RNA is filed under the name Euclymene oerstedii. RNAcentral describes it as "SSU rRNA". It matches the Rfam family "Eukaryotic small subunit ribosomal RNA", at positions 43 to 424 of the family's 1831-position model. The record is from RNAcentral. Lineage: Eukaryota; Metazoa; Annelida; Polychaeta; Maldanidae.
AUUAAGCCAUGCAUGUCUAAGUACAAGCUUUUACACAGUGAAACCGCGAAUGGCUCAUUAAAUCAGUUAUGGUUCCUUAGAUCGUACUAUCCUACUUGGAUAACUGUGGCAAUUCUAGAGCUAAUACAUGCAAGAAAGCUCCGACCUUCGGGGAAGAGCGCUUUUAUUAGAUCAAGACCAAUCACCCGCAAGGGUGUCCCUUUGGUGAGUCUGGAUAACUUUGGGCUGAUCGCAUGGCCUUGCGCCAGCGACGUAUCUUUCAAAUGUCUGCCCUAUCAACUUUCGAAGGUAUGUUUUAUGCUUACCUUGGUUUUUACGGGUAACGGGGAAUAAGGGUUCGAUUCCGGAGAGGGAGCAUGAGAAACGGCUACCACAUCCAAGGAAG